UCUUGAUGCUGGGUAACUUGUUCUGACUUCAGAGAGAGACUUGCGCUCACAGCAGUUUCACCGGGUGGCUUGCAAGGACUGUGUAGGAAAGCAGUGGCCCAUUAUUGCUGUGGAAAGAGCCAAAAUCCCAGAGUAAAAGCUCUUCAGAAAACCAGGGAACUGGUUUAGCUCCAUUCCAAGAGACAGGACUCUUAAAAGUGAUAACUACUCUGGUUAUUUCCUCAUACCAGAGAUCAACCAGAGCUUUGACAGGAUCACCUGUCCUGGUUUACAAACUGAUAAUACCAGCAGAGACAGCAAACUACCAGCAGCUAGAAAGCCGCCUUGCCUGUGAGAGUCCGUUAUGAGAAAGGUGUCAUCAAGCAGUCUGAAUCAAGGGAGGCAAGAGGAAUCAAGGUCAACACGGUCCAAGAGUCAAAGAAGCCAGGAAGUCUGAAGUGUGAAAUGCAGGAGUCUGGUAUCAGGAACACGAAUACUGGCCAGGAAACAGACAAGUUGCUUCCAGUACUCACCUUCAGCAAAUUCAGCUCUUUAAUAGCCUGACACCAGCUGGUUCUAAUCAGGGCUUGCUUGUUGUUGCUUGGCCUGCAGCCUAGCUGAGGGUCUUAGUUCUAUCCUUGGUUGUAUUCUUUUGUCCCUCCUCCUUGAUUGAGGACUUAAGAUCUCAGCUGUGUCCUCUGCUUCAUCAGCAGGUGAGUUUUGCCCAUGUACUGCUGGCUGAGGCUGCUGUUCAACAGGAUGAGCUGAUUGAGGCUCUUCAGCAGAGAGAGAUGGCUGAGGAUGCUCUGCAACUGGGAGAGUUAGACUGUUCCCUGUCUGGAAGACCUUGCCUGGGUCCCUUCCUCAGUCUCCUCAUCAGACUCUUCCUCCAGGUCCCAGUCCUGCAGCUCCUGGCCCAUGACAUCACCUGCCAAGGCAGCAGGAAAUUCCUCAAGAGCCGUCAGGAAUCCAUCAGGCAUAUAUUGCCACAGUAUGAUCAUUUAGAGAAGAAUCCCCUUCUUUUCUGGCUCAAGCUUUAUUGGACUGUUUCCUACUGACAUUCUGCUACUAUCUGGCAUGGAAGGCCUGUGUUUUGCCAGCCCUCCCUCAUC
Sceloporus undulatus (fence lizard) is the source of this 1091-nucleotide long non-coding RNA. RefSeq lists it as uncharacterized. Lineage: Eukaryota; Metazoa; Chordata; Lepidosauria; Squamata; Phrynosomatidae. The transcript is spliced from 3 exons. The record is from RefSeq and is a predicted model, not a curated record.